This 1527-nucleotide long non-coding RNA is filed under the name Bos indicus x Bos taurus (hybrid cattle). RNAcentral describes it as "lncRNA (ENSBIXG00000017014.1)". Lineage: Eukaryota; Metazoa; Chordata; Mammalia; Artiodactyla; Bovidae. The record is from RNAcentral.
UGUGCUGUCUGUCACUGAGUGCAAAGGGUCUUGAGGCUUCCAGGCCUGAGUGCUGGGGCUGUCAGUCACAGACAGCCCCGCCCAUCCUCGUCCACUGGCCCAUCAGGGCACUACCUGACUUUCCCCUCGGCUCAGUCUAGAAUAAGAGCAGCCUUGGUGGCUGUGCUGGACGCCUGGCGGAGGUACUGGCGGCAAUGCAGUCACACAACAUGAAGUUCAGGCUGGUGCUUUUGUUAAACAGCCCUUCUUAGCAAAGCUGGUGAACUCCAGACACUGGUCCAUUGUGGUUUUUUCCUCAUGAGAGGUUUCAAUGCUAUCUACCUCUCCGGACCCAAAUCCUUCCCAAAUGGAUGCAAGGAGGAUUAGGGAAAACAGCUCCAUGACUUCCCAAAGCGUCAUUCUUGGGGCGGGUGCUGCUCAGCCACCCACCUUGCUUUGUCCUGAAGUUGCUGCAUUAUCUCGCUCCAGGCCCCGCAGGGUGGACAGGCACAUAAAGGACUCCUGCUAGGUCCCUUUGACCAGCCUUUACUUCAGAAACCCUUUUAAGCUAAUUUUUCCUGACAUUUCCAACAGGCCUUUGAAAAUGCAGUGACUGAGAGAGCAACCAUGUGCUCCAUAACAUGCUCCCGAGUAGGGGGCGUUACUACAUCUAAUCUCCACCUUCUGCCUUGGACCUGAAUCUUCCGGGCAGCAAACAGCUAAGAAGAUUAAGAAGCAAAUGCUGGAAGGCCGGAUGUGUGCAGUGAGGAGAAGGCAUUGGUGAAAAUCAUGGUGACAAAACAUUAGCUGUGCUGAAAACAUUAGCACUGGAAAAGACGUUGGUGACCCUCACCAAAAUUCCUCAUCAACUGAAGCCCAGGGAGAGGCUCAGGGAUUCUCUCAAGCUGGUUGAUUGUCAAACGACGUAUAUAAGAUGUGGCCACAAUGCAUUCUGAGAAACAGUCUUUGCGGUCUUUGGCCACGCCCAGAACCCUCGUCUGCUCUGUCUCUCCUCCCAGACAGACACUCCCGAGUUCAUGUCGGGAGAAGGAUGGCUCCCAGCUCCCCAGGGGAGGGAUUCAAGCCGUGGGAAGAGCCGAGCUCCAAGGACAUCGUGUUACACCCACUAAAAUGGUGUCAGGAGGCUCGGGAGGGAGGCGGCUCCAGGAACAAAGUACGACGAGGCCUGGGACUGUGUGGGAACAAUCUGGGCCUCACAGCUGCUCUGUGACAGCCCGUGUCCUCAGGUCCUUCCGGGCGGGGCCUCCUGAGCCUCCCACAGCACCUCUGCCACCCUUUUCCAGCACUUGGGCUGCUGUUCCACCUGGCCUCCAGCCCCUGAGGGGUGCCAGCCACACCAUGGAUGGGGAGGAGAGCCCCAUUUGGGGUAGUCACCUUGGAUACCUCUUUGCAUCCAGGGCGGUGGACCCUGUGUUUGGGGAGAAGUCCCGAUUCAGAAUUUGGAAUUGGGGUUUUGUGCUAAUUGGAUGCUUUUCUUCUGGCUUCAAAAUAAUCUUGUUUUGGUUGCUAAGAAACGCUCUUAAUUGA